UACAGAGGGGGCAAGCGUUAUUCGGAAUUAUUGGGCGUAAAGGGCGCGUAGGCGGCUUUGCAAGUGACGGGUGAAAGCCCUCGGCUUAACCGAGGAACUGCCUGUCAGACUGUAAGGCUUGAGACCGGGAGAGGUGAGUGGAAUUCCCAGUGUAGCGGUGAAAUGCGUAGAUAUUGGGAGGAACACCAGUGGCGAAGGCGGCCCCCUGGUUGGAUACUGACGCUGAUACGCGAAAGCGUGGGGAGCAAACAGG
This 253-nucleotide ribosomal RNA is filed under the name uncultured bacterium. Its description in RNAcentral is "partial 16S ribosomal RNA". It matches the Rfam family "Bacterial small subunit ribosomal RNA", at positions 524 to 776 of the family's 1533-position model. The record is from RNAcentral.